CCCAAGGCCUCCGGGCGCGACUCUGUAGGCCCCACCCACUCUUAUCCCUAGAGUUUCAGCCACCAUCUGUCCUUCCCUAGCUGCCCCCUGCAGCAGCCUCCUCCCAUCCAGCCUCCUACGUUCAGCAGUGCUUUAUAUUUUUAAGCCGCUCUCAAGACAUCAGAACAAAUAUUGGGCUUUAGGGUGCUUUCUGCCUUGUUCACAGUGAACUGGUUGGUAACCUGGGCCUAUAGGAGGAGGGGUGGGUGAUCACAUACUGCCCCCCUCCCAGGGCCCAACAGGCAGGGGGACGCCAGACAUGGCCUUGGGAAAGCCGGCGAGGUUCUGGGGCUCAGGGAGAGGCUCUGUCCCUCCCCUCUCCGUUUGGCUGUCUUUGGUCAAAGUCAACAAAUUUAGGAAAAAGCUUUUCUGGCAUGUCUUGUGUCUUUGUAUCCACGGCUUUACACAAUUGCUUUCUCCCUCUGGGUCCCAUGCCUUAUUAUCUGCAAGUGGUUUUACUGAAACAGUUCUAACCCGCGCCAAUAUGACCUGGCUGUCCCUCCGUGCCCUUCAGGGUUAUACCCCAACAGCCAGCAGUACUUUCUGCUUUCCUUCCCUGGAAGGCCCUUGUGGGGGUGGUCCUUCCUCUACUGUGACACCCCACCCCCUGCCGGCAACAUUCUGUGCUCCUCUGCCAGAGGCAGCCUCCUGCUGUAAUUCCUCCAGGAUGGGAGCUGCAAACAGCUGCAACUGCUUAGAGCCAGAGUCCCACUUUGAAGAGAACAACGGGACCUGUGUUUUACUCAUGCCCCCCACUCAUUGGGGUGGUAAAACAAAGUCCGGAGGGUCCGUCAGUCUGUGGACAGCUGAGACGAAUAUUGUCUGACAUUGCAGCCCUGUUGUGGCCAGUAGUGAGGCUUCGUACCUAGGAAACCGGAGGCUGUGUUCACCGAGUUUCAGCAGCCGUGGUGGACAGGCUGCCAUUGAUUGGAAGCAGAGGACAAGCAUCCACUGACCUCAGCAAUUGGCAUCCAGUGCUGGGCACAGACCAAGGGUGCAUUUGCAGGCAGAAGAAUGGGUUGCCUGAUGAGUUGUGUCUGUGUGCACCAGGCAGGCAUUGCAGCCAGGGUCAAGGGAGGAAAUGAGGGUGGCUAAGCUGUGCACACUGGGGCUUGGCACCGGUGGCCUGGGUUGAGCUGUGCCAUCUUGUACUAGACACCAUUGUAGGUUCUCAAUGAAUAUGACAUAUCUGUCCAUUUUCAUUUUAAAGGGAUGGAAAGUGAGAUGCACGCAGUCAUGCACUUUCUAAGGUGCAGCAUCGUGUGUGUGUGUGUGUGUGUGUGUGUGUGUGUGUGUGUGUGUGUGGUGAUGGUGACUGUCUGUAAGGUAGGUCAUGGGGAUGUGUUAGCGAUGAGUAGACAGCAGUUUGAAUGUGUUUCACGGAACCUGUUGUUUGCAUUUUGUUAGCCUCUGUACUGGAAAGCAAUGCUGUGUUCAUCUUCCUUUCGUAACCUGUAGGUCCCAUGACAAAUUCCUUGAAAGCUGGAAGGUGCCUCUUCCUGCAAACUAGGGUCAAACUCUGUAUGUAGCUGAUGCUGGCUGACUGUAAACCCACGAUCCUCCAGCCCACUCUCUGGAUUGCUGGGAUUAUAGUUCUGAGCUGAUAUGUGUACUUCAUACUGUUACACUGAUCCCUGGGAUUUAACAGGGACUGGGGACUUUCGGAUUACCACAGGCCAGAUGGAGAAGACGUUCAAUGCCAGGUUGUAUCCGGGAGCAAGCAGAAAUGUGGGAGAAACUCUGGAGUAAAACAACAC
This 1796-nucleotide long non-coding RNA is filed under the name Cricetulus griseus (Chinese hamster). RNAcentral's name for it is "lncRNA (ENSCGRG00015030296.1)". The record is from RNAcentral. Lineage: Eukaryota; Metazoa; Chordata; Mammalia; Rodentia; Cricetidae.